Otolemur garnettii (small-eared galago) is the source of this 102-nucleotide non-coding RNA. The record is from Rfam. Lineage: Eukaryota; Metazoa; Chordata; Mammalia; Primates; Galagidae.
GUGCUCACUUCAACAACAUAUAUUAAUUGGAACGAACAGAGAAGAUUAGCAUGGCCCCUGUGUAAGGAUGACAUGCAAAUUCAUGAAGCAUUCCAUAUUUUU